This 42-nucleotide transfer RNA is filed under the name Lachnaea eriocephala. RNAcentral's name for it is "partial transfer RNA-Phe". The record is from RNAcentral. Lineage: Eukaryota; Viridiplantae; Streptophyta; Magnoliopsida; Malvales; Thymelaeaceae. RNAcentral also lists the same sequence under 2 other names.
CGGGAUAGCUCAGCUGGUAGAGCAGAGGACUGAAAAUCCUCG